GACGAACGCUGGCGGCGUGCUUAACACAUGCAAGUCGAACGGAAAGGCCCUGCUUUUGUGGGGUGCUCGAGUGGCGAACGGGUGAGUAACACGUGAGUAACCUGCCCUUGACUUUGGGAUAACUUCAGGAAACUGGGGCUAAUACCGGAUAGGAGCUCCUGCUGCAUGGUGGGGGUUGGAAAGUUUCGGCGGUUGGGGAUGGACUCGCGGCUUAUCAGCUUGUUGGUGGGGUAGUGGCUUACCAAGGCUUUGACGGGUAGCCGGCCUGAGAGGGUGACCGGGAAACAGUGGGAAGGAGAGAGGCCCAGGACACAGGGGGGGGGAGGAAGGGGGAAAUAGGGAAAAGGGGGGGGAGGUUGGAAGCAGCAGCGCGGGGGGGGGGAGGAGGGCUUUGGGUUUAAAAACGGUUUGCGCCGGGGAAAAAGGGGGAGGAAGGAAAGGGGAAAAAAAAAACCGAAAAAACAAGGGC
Molecule: ribosomal RNA, 469 nt
Filed under: uncultured bacterium
Lineage: Bacteria
Description: partial 16S ribosomal RNA
Rfam family: Bacterial small subunit ribosomal RNA (bases 20-333)
Source: RNAcentral